UACGGAGGGUGCAAGCGUUAUCCGGAUUCACUGGGUUUAAAGGGUGCGUAGGUGGGCAGGUAAGUCAGUGGUGAAAUCUCCGGGCUUAACCCGGAAACUGCCGUUGAUACUAUCUGUCUUGAAUGUAGUGGAGGUGAGCGGAAUAUGUCAUGUAGCGGUGAAAUGCUUAGAUAUGACAUAGAACAUCGAUUGCGAAGGCAGCUCGCUACACUAUGAUUGACACUGAGGCACGAAAGCGUGGGGAGCAAACAGG
RNAcentral lists this ribosomal RNA (253 nucleotides) under uncultured bacterium. RNAcentral's name for it is "partial 16S ribosomal RNA". It matches the Rfam family "Bacterial small subunit ribosomal RNA", at positions 524 to 776 of the family's 1533-position model. The record is from RNAcentral.